UCGGAUCCUCUUAAGCCACCGUCCAAAUCCCUCGUAGCGAGAGUUCUCAAUCCGCUCUCUAAACAACAGAUCAACGCUGAAACAACAGUACUACCUGGUUUCAGAGACAGAAAGAUUUCGCAGUUAAAUACAUUAGAUAGAAAAAGAGAUUCAAGGACAAAAGCUCUCUGUUUCUGAUGUAUGGUUGUUUGAAGCCAUGGAUUCAACCAACGAGAACAAGUCCUUUGUAUUACCCUACCACCCUAUCUUUUUUCUUUGUCUAAUCAUUGAAAUAACUUCUAUAGCCGCAAAUUUUUUUAUUUUGUUUUGUAUUUUUUAUUAAAAUA
Molecule: long non-coding RNA, 326 nt
Filed under: Durio zibethinus
Lineage: Eukaryota; Viridiplantae; Streptophyta; Magnoliopsida; Malvales; Malvaceae
Description: long non-coding RNA (DZIB_LNC001904)
Source: RNAcentral